This 408-nucleotide ribosomal RNA is filed under the name uncultured bacterium. RNAcentral describes it as "partial 16S ribosomal RNA". It matches the Rfam family "Bacterial small subunit ribosomal RNA", at positions 28 to 526 of the family's 1533-position model. The record is from RNAcentral.
GACGAACGCUGACGGCGUGCUUAACACAUGCAAGUCGAAGGGAGUGGCGAACGGGUGAGUAACACGUGAGUAACAUGCCCUUUUCUUUGGGAUAAGCCUGGGAAACUGGGGCUAAUACUGGAUGGAUUGGGAUGGGCUCGCGGCUUAUCAGCUUGGUGGUGGGGUGAUGGCGUACCAAGGCUUUGACGGGUAGACGGCCUGAUAGGGUGGUCGGUCGCACUGGGACUGGGAUACGGCCCAGACUCCUACGGGAUGCAGCAGUGUGGGAUAUUGCACAAGGGACGAAAGUCUGAUGCAGCGACGUCGUGUGGGGGAUGAAGGCCUUCGGGUUGUAAACUCCUUUCGCCCGCGGAAUGGUAGUUGGUAAUGAAGCGCCGGCUAACUGCGUGCCAGCAGCCGCGGUAAUAC